This 400-nucleotide unclassified non-coding RNA is filed under the name uncultured fungus. Its description in RNAcentral is "sequence contains ITS1". The stretch from base 1 to 105 matches the Rfam family "5.8S ribosomal RNA", at positions 50 to 154 of the family's 154-position model. Lineage: Eukaryota; Fungi. The record is from RNAcentral.
UAGCUGCGUUAAAUAGCGCGAAUUGCAGACACAUUGAGCGCUAAAAUUUCGAACGCACAUUGCGCCAUCGGGUUCAUUCCCGUUGGCAUGCCUGUCCGAGGGUCGGAUACCCUAUGUUACCGAUUACGCGCAUUUCGCUAGGAUGUUGGCGCAGAGGUCGUAUGUUUGUGCCAAGUCCCUAGCGGACGUGUCGCGGUGUCGGUUGGUCGGAGCGCUACUACGAGACUGGUACCGCUCUUAGAUGAACACAGUUCUUCGGAACUUGCGCGCUUUCAGCGCAUCGCUUCGACGUUUAGGCGGCUUCGGCCGGUUCGCGCCGCUCGCUAAGUUAGCACGAACCAGCGCCCUAAAUCCGCCGUCGAGCGAACUUCAUCAAUUGACCUCGGAUCAGACAUGACUA